ACGGCUCAGUAACACGUAGCUAAUCUGCCCUUCGGUCAAGGAUACCCUCGGGAAACUGAGAUCAAUACUUGAUAGAGGUGGAAUGCUGGAACGCAUUCACCUUGAAAUUCGAGCCGAAGGAUGAGGCUGCGGACGAUUAGCUAGUUGGUGGGGUAACUGCCUACCAAGGCGAUGAUUGUUACGGGCUCUUAGCGGAGUUGCCCGGAGAAGGAAUCUGAGACACUAUUCCUAGCUCUACGGAGUGCAGCAGCAGCGAAUCAUUUGCAAUGCGCGCAAGCGUGACAAUGCGAACCAAAGUGCUUUUCCUUUUAGGAAAAGCUUUUUCUCACUUUAAAAAGGUGGGAGAAUAAGGACUGGGUAAGACCGGUGCCAGCCGCCGCGGUAAUCCCGGCAGUUCUAGUCGCAUCCACUAUUAUUGGGUCUAAAACAUCCGUAGCUUGCUUUUUAAGUUCUUUGUGAAAUCCCACGUCUCAAGCGUGGGGCUUGCGGAGAAUACUGGAAAGCUAGAGAUCGGUAGAUGUAAGAAGUACACUGGAGGUAGUGGUAAAAUACGUUAAUCUUCGGUGGACUAACAAUGAGCGAAGGCAUCUUACAAGGACGAAUCUGACAGUGAGGGACGAAAGCUGGGGGAGCAAACCGGAUUAGAUACCCGGGUAGUCCCAGCCGUAAACGAUGUGCGUUAGGUGUAUCGGUGACCACGAGUCACCGAGGUGCCGAAGAGAAAUCGUGAAACGUACCGCCUGGGA
RNAcentral lists this ribosomal RNA (746 nucleotides) under uncultured euryarchaeote. Its description in RNAcentral is "bacterial SSU rRNA". It matches the Rfam family "Archaeal small subunit ribosomal RNA", at positions 85 to 833 of the family's 1478-position model. The record is from RNAcentral. Lineage: Archaea; Methanobacteriati; Methanobacteriota.